RNAcentral lists this long non-coding RNA (1104 nucleotides) under Homo sapiens (human). RNAcentral describes it as "non-protein coding lnc-KMO-3:4". The record is from RNAcentral. Lineage: Eukaryota; Metazoa; Chordata; Mammalia; Primates; Hominidae.
CGUGGGACAGGGGCGUCCGAAGGUGCCGGCUCGGAUGGGCUCGGCUCGGCCGCCGCCACACCGCCCGGGCCUCCCGGGCCUCCCCGGCCUCCCGCCCUCGCGCCCCUCGGGAGGCUGUAGUCCUGCCCCCGGCGCGGCCAGCCCGCGCUCCCGCACACCCCGCCCGCUCGCCCGCGCGUGUGUACGUGCGCCGGAGGCCUGGAGAGACCGGAGUUUAACGCCCAGUGUAAGCCGGAAAGGGAGGAAGGCUGUGCGAUGGGUGGGUGGGUGGUAGGUGGGUGGGUGGUCUAGUGAAUGGAUGGACAGAUGGACGGACGGAUGCACGGAUGAAUGGAUGGAUGGAGCCCCGUGCAAACCAAGGUUUCAUCACGUGCCUAACGACUCCGCUGAAAGUCCCAGGGAAGCAGAUGAUUUAUUAUUAUUAUUAUUAUUAUUAUUAUUAUUAUUAUUAUUAUUAUUAUUAUGCUUAAAUAACAGAGUAGAGAGAUAUUGAGACACCCUAGGAAUGAAGGAAAUGGCCAGGACCAAAUGAAUCAUUCAUCCCCGUUUGCCUGCGGUUUUCACAGCUUCUUCCUAAGUUGGAGAAAUGGGAAACGAUUUGAAAGCUGCCAACCGGAGGUGAAAAUCUUGCCACUUGUGAAACUGAAGGAACAUCCCCAAGGCCUGGCUUCUCCUUUUAACAGAAGGUGCUCAGAGGAACUUUCCUCUUGCCCACUGCCCUCAUCCUCUAGCAAUUUUCAAAGAGCUUCUGAGGUGCUGAUCCUCCUAGCUAUAGUCUUCGUACUGCUGCCACAAAUUCUUCUGUAAGGAUUAGAAUGACAUAAAGGAGACAGAUCACUUUUGUCUCGGUGGUAGUAAAGCAACCUGUGCCUCUGGCUUUCAGGGGGAAGGGCUGGGCCGCUGUAAAUCUAGUUUUCCUUCCUCUCCUGGGCCAGCUGUGGAGGAGAGGGAGGGAGAGAAGGAGAAGAUAAUCAAGAUCAGCUGUAAAUCUAGUUUUCCUUCCUCUACUGGGCCAGGUGUGGAGGAGAGGGAGGGACAGAAGGAGAAGAUAAUCAAGGUCAGCCUUUCCUGACCCCUUGGUCUAAGCAGACUAGACCUUAUUGG